CACACGCACAGCGUUAUACGUACUUCGAAGGCUCUUACAAUUAGUAUAGAAACGAUGUUUGCGGCUGGACACGACUGCGAUUAUUCUUAACUAUGGAAAUAGUGACAAAUAUCGUCACCGUUUAGAUGCAAAUCUAACUCGUUUUGUUUAUUACAUUCGAUUUUAAGACUACUUACUUUAGCAAGUAACGUUCGAUAAAAACGUAACCACGUGUAAAUCACAUAUAAUGUGAAGAUCAUUUAUCUUAUUACGUGUAGCACAAAUCAUGUUUACAUAAUUUUUAAUAGCCAUCAAUUUACUGAUUAAGUCUAUAAGAAAUAUUUCUUUUCUUUUAACUUUAACAAUAAGAGUAGACAGAUUUUUGGCACACGUUUUCCUAUUCUAAUUAAGAAAGGAUGGAAACAUUGAAGACACGUUUUGGUAACGAGGCUCGUUGUAAAACUUGAAUUACGUUGUUGGUUUUUAUGAUGAGGUACAGUUAGAAUUUUAUCUAGAAUCAGUAGAAGUUAGUUUUUAGAAACAAGACUUGUUACUAGUGAAUAAACCUCGACCCCCUGUUUAAAGAUGUUCCGAAGGACAGUAACGAGUCGAGUAUAUGAGACUAACGUUUGGCAAUUAUUCAUCCUUGUCCAUGAAUCUUAUUUUUUCUUCGAAUAACUCAGACAAAGUUUAAUUAGAAAGUCGAAUACAAAAUGUCAUAAGAAAUAUUUGUCAUAAUCUUUAUGACAGGAUUCGAUUUCUCUAUACUUGUUCCUACUACUUUAAUAAUUCUCAGAGCAUUGAGAAGAUCACGAAUCAUGACUUGUAAUAAAUCAUCACAAAAUAUGCAAUAAAUUUAGAAUGACUAAAGAACUGAGAUAAUUUAGAGAACGAUGAUAUUGAAAACGUGACUAUAUGCGUGAAACUGUAAAAACUGGUGGGAGCCAAAUUAUCGAGAAGAAAAACAAAAGUGAAUGCACACGUGCAGCUUUUACAGAAAGUAGAACUCUUACUUUCUGCGUGUCCUCCGACGUGUAGCACGUCGAUGAGGCUUCCGACUACAGAUAAAUUUUACGAUUUCCCUUUCUAAAGCGUCGUGGCCAUUCGACGUGAAUCCACCGAGCGAUAUAUGUACAGUACGUAAGUACAUGGUGAAAUUUAUAUAACAGGUGAUUAAUCGUUUAAUUCGGAGGCCAUUCACACACGCACACGUCCGACAACAACCAAUUGCUUCACCUUUCCCGCGCUUUCUGGUCAAUGACUCUGGGUAAAGUGGCUCAUACAUUUUAGGGACUACGAUUUCUUGGUAAACAGGUUCUAACGUGCUGCCUUGUGAGCACAAUUUUUUACUUGAAAGUUAUCUAAUCGUGCUGGUCACUGAAACCAGUUUUAUUCCCCCUGGCUCGAGUCAUAAGUUCACGGAAUUCGUUUCUCAAGUAAUCUUCUUAAACUCUUCUUCGCUAAAGUACGUAAAUAAUAUACAUAUAUCAACAUAAUUUUUUGUGACAGCUCAUGUUUCAGGUAUUUUGUUGGACUGAAGUUCAGAGAAUUUUUAAAACAAUUAUAGUUUUAAAAUUUUAGUCUUUUUAAAGUCUGUAAAUUAUACCAUAAGGGGAACUCUAGUUUGCCAUCGAAGGAUGCGUACAUAAAUAAUUUACAAUUCUAGAUGCCAUUUACGCAAAUGUUUGAACAAGUCGAGUUUACUCAGUGAUUGCGUAACCCAUAGAUAGUUACGUUAAUAAGAGAAAUUAAUAAGAAACGGCGUGACUGUAAAUAAAUUGUUUACAGAUUCAUUUUCGUCGCUGUCGUGUUUCUUGAUCCUCAAUUUCAAAUUUCUCAGAACUCGCCUCUCAGGUAAACUUCAUUAAGCGAACGGAUCCAACGAGCAGCUUAUCCAGUCAUUAAACGUCGAGCAAUCCUUGAAACUAAAUCAGCGCUGUUCUGGCUAGAGAUUAGCUUCUCCGAGUCCGAUGAAUAAAAACGGACGGGCAAGAAAAAAAACCCUUUCAGCUAAUUUCCUGUUCACCUUGGACUUCAUUUAAAUAGGGACGUUCACUGAUAAGAAUGAUUAUGUAAUUCUAAUAAGAUUUAAAACAUUAA
Long non-coding RNA from Ceratina calcarata, 2079 nucleotides. RefSeq lists it as uncharacterized. NCBI's taxonomy places the organism in Eukaryota, Metazoa, Arthropoda, Insecta, Hymenoptera, Apidae. The transcript is spliced from 2 exons. The record is from RefSeq and is a predicted model, not a curated record.